UGACAUGACAUGAGAUUAACAGAGCUAGAAUUGACAAGUUAACUAUCUAUGCUACACUACAACUAUCACUGUUUGAAGACACGUUGUUUUAGUAGGCUAAUACCACGCAAAAACCAACCUUAUUCCUGUGUGUAUAUUCCGUUGUGCGCUGUCCUUGUCAAAAUAAAGCUGAAAUAUAAUGAAUUACAUUAAUGUUGAUGGCUUAGUUGAUGGCUUAACUUAAUACAAAUCCUAGCUGCUACUUUUGGCUGCAUCCAUCACACGUCGUUCCCUCAAGCAAAUGCUACUAACAACUACCAAGAACGCACAUGGCCGUAAUCAUUCUAGAUAGCUAAGACUGGGCUAUGCUGUUAUGAUAAUGGUGUUAAAUUUGGAAGAACAUUUAGAUAUGCUUCUGUUAUGAUUAAUAUCUAAUGUUGUUAUGUUUCACUGUACAAUCAACAUGUUCAUUAACAUCAGACAUGUUGGCAGAUGUAGUGACAUUAAAAGAGAAGAGAACUGAGACAUGAAAAAGGCACAUUUACAUUUAGCAAGAGAGGCAAACGAUGCAAGAGAGUUAGCCUAUAUCAGUUAAUUCUGGCAAAAGGAAACAACUCAUUUGCACAAACUAGUUAUCGAAAAACAUGACAAAUCCUAAAUAUAGAGCUAGACUUGACAAGUUAACUAUCUAUGCUACACUACAACUAUCACUGUUUGAAGAUACGUUGUUUUAGUAGGCUACUACCACGCAAAAACCAACCUUAUUCCUGUGUGUAUAUUCCGUUGUGCGCUGUCAACUACCAAGAACGCACAUGGACGUAAGAAUUCUAGAUAGCUAAGACUAGGCUAUGCUGUUCUGAUGAUAAUGGUGUUAAAUUUGGAAGAACAUUUAGAUAUGCUUCUGUUAUGAUUCAUAUCUAAUGUUUUUAAGUUUCACUGUACAAUCGACAUGUUCAUUAACAUCAGACAUGUUGGCAGAGCUAGUGACAUUAUAAGAGAAGAGAACUGAGACAUGAAAAAGGUGCAUUUACAUUUAGCAAGAGAGGC
Molecule: long non-coding RNA, 1026 nt
Organism: Clupea harengus (Atlantic herring)
Lineage: Eukaryota; Metazoa; Chordata; Actinopteri; Clupeiformes; Clupeidae
Source: Ensembl